GGAACCUUUUCAUGUGCAGUGAUUUUGAAUGAGUGAGCAGGCAGCGAAGACCUUCACCACAUGAGCACAGAGACGAACAGUAAUUGGACGUUUUUACAGAGAUAUAAAUCUCAAAACUGAACAAACUAUCUCCUCUGUUUUCUUUGAAGCACUAAGUGUGUAUUUCAACUAUUUCACCUUAAGCUGUAUGUAUUAUCGAUCCAAGAUUUUCAAAAAAUCAUUUUCUG
This 227-nucleotide unclassified non-coding RNA is filed under the name Hevea brasiliensis (rubber tree). Lineage: Eukaryota; Viridiplantae; Streptophyta; Magnoliopsida; Malpighiales; Euphorbiaceae. The record is from RNAcentral.